UUAUCAUUUUUCCACCUCCCGCUUCCUGUUUCUCUCGAUUUUUCUCUGUGUUCAUCCCAAAACCCUCCAUUUCAUUUCUCUUUCUCCUGAAAUGCCAUUCCCUUCUUCGACCCAAGCUUCGCCCUUCUCUCCGUCUCCCUUUUCUUCUUCAACCCGCAAGCCAUUUUCAGAAUAAUCCCCAUUCUUGCUACCUCGCUCUUCCUCAGCCUGCAAGUGUCCGUCCUUCUCUCCAGCGUUUGCAUUCUCCAAUAGUUGCUUUCGUUUUCGUUCUCUCCAACAUAAGUCUCUCUUCUCUCCCUCUUCUCUGAUUCUGGAUCUCUAUUCUCAGUGUUGUGCCGUCGUUAUAGAUCCCUCUUCUCUGAUUAUGAUUUCAUCUUCAACAGCUCGAUUAAAUCACUUCCUCUUUUGCAUUGCAAGGACAAAUAAAUGGACUGAAUUGGGGUCUCCACGAAUCAUCUAGAAGGUUUUUCAAUUUCCUCCACAAACUGGGUUGGCUCUAACGUAUAUGGCAUCUGCCGAUCAUCAAAUCUGCCAUAAUAGUUAUGCCUUUCGGAAUACAAGGCCUCGGGAGUCUUCUUGUGCUGGUGAUGAGGCUUUUUCUUUUUACCUUGUUCGUAUCUGUCUAGCGUGAGAGCUUGGACUAGUGAAAUCCAUGGAAGAGUUGCUUGUGACGUCUGCAAUGAUUCCUCCAUUUGACCCGAAGAUCAUGUUCUUGAAGAUUAACAAACAUAUUUGAUAGCUCCUGCCAGACUGCCAAUUCUCAUCUCACGAUCCCAUGGAACACCAUUUCUUUACACCUUACUCCUUUAUCUACACGUAGAGUAAAUUUUUGGUUUCGCCACUAUACCCGAAGAAGAAGAAGAAGAAGAAGAAACACGAAGUUCUUACAAGAGAGAAGAAACAUGAAGCUCCAGUAAGCAGCUUAGAAACGAAAUAAGAAAUGUUUCUUUGAAAUUUGAAGAACAAACUUUUAUAAUUUCAUCUU
Molecule: long non-coding RNA, 985 nt
Organism: Carya illinoinensis
Lineage: Eukaryota; Viridiplantae; Streptophyta; Magnoliopsida; Fagales; Juglandaceae
Exons: 4
Source: RefSeq, a predicted model, not a curated record